CCUACGGGAGGCAGCAGUGAGGAAUAUUGGUCAAUGGCCGGAAGGCUGAACCAGCCAAGCCGCGUGAAGGACGACGGUGCCAAGCAUUGUAAACUUCUUUUGUCAAGGGACAAAAUCAGGCUCGAGUGCCUGACCGAGGGUACUUGACGAAAAAGCAUCGGCUAACUCCAUGCCAGCAGCCGCGGUAAUACGGAGGAUGCGAGCGUUAUCCGGAUUUAUUGGGUUUAAAGGGUGCGUGGUGGGAGUGUUAGGUCAGCGGUAAAAGCCCGGGGCUAAACCCCGGAGAGCCGUUGAAACUGGGUGUCUUGAGAUGGCGAGAGGUAUGCGGAAUGCGCAGUGUAGCGGUGAAAUGCUUAGAGA
This 360-nucleotide ribosomal RNA is filed under the name uncultured bacterium. Its description in RNAcentral is "partial 16S ribosomal RNA". It matches the Rfam family "Bacterial small subunit ribosomal RNA", at positions 338 to 696 of the family's 1533-position model. The record is from RNAcentral.